CUUGGAAGCUUCGGGGUCCCCCUGCGUUUCCUCCCCUUUCUCCCCCAAAGAAAGGCAGCCACUGAGCCACCCCUCCAGUUGGGAGAAUAAAGAAGCUCAGGCGGAGGAGCGGAUACUACGGGAACCUUUCCUUCAGCGAGGGAGAAAGCAGCCUGCAAGUUUGCCUGCCAAGAUCGCCCAGCCCCACUCACUUUCGGCCAGAGGGCUUCGCUGUCGUUGAUGCGUUGCCACCAGUUCAGCCUUCUUGCGUGCUGCCGUUUCCCCUGGCUUUGGGUCGGAAUGAAAACACCGAGAGCCCCGCUACCGUUUCGCCCAGCUGCUUUGUGUGUGCUUGUGUAAGUGUUGGGCUGUGUAUGCUCGCCUUCCUCGCGGGCUCUGAGUGAAUAAUCGAAAUCUGGCGCCACUUGCUGGCCGAUAAACGGAACUGCCGUUCCUGCCGAGGAAAAAGGAGCAGGCGCCUUCCGGGCUCUUCAUGGGCCUCGUUCCCUUCCAAAGGCGUCCCCUGGUGACUGCACCACACCCUUUCCAUAAUAGUAGGACUUCUUUGUACGCUGCUCAUCCUUUAAAACAACGUACUGUUUGUAACAGUAAAGCUUACCUAUCAGUUCUACUUAUUGCAGCACUAUGCUGCCCAAUUUUAGAUCAGCUGACCCAAGGACUUGGUUAGCGGUUUAUGAAUUCUGUGUUGUGCGCAUGGGUUUGCUUCAAACUGAGGGCCAAUUGCCGGUAUGUCGUUGGCUGAUAGGUUCCCAUUGAAGGCAUUAACAUACCUGAACAGAGGAUAACAGGUACUGCUGUACUCAUCCCAGUCAUUACCUGAAGGCUUCUGUUAACAUUGGACCUUGCACAGCGUGGUUCAGACCAUUACUGCCUUCUGCUCCAUAUGAAAUCAUCAAGGACAAAGAACAGCCAGGAGCAAACCGUCUUCAGAGCUGUUCUAACAACAGACUUUGAAGAGUUCUUGAAUGCUGUUAAUCUGCAUAUGUAAAACAUUCAGAAUCAUGCAGCAUGAUAGCAAGAUUGCACCAUGCCGUGUCCAACGCCAGGGCUUGCUUCACACCAGGCUACAGUUGGGGGAAAGUCUGCUUAUCUCACCAGUACCAAAAUGGAACAGAACAGAGAAAAGAAGCCAUGCUCAAAGUCAGACUGAGCACUAGAAUCCGGAGGAGACAGACAAGAAUCAGAAGGCAAGGCACUGCUGACCCUAUUGCAAUAAGUAAUAUUGUGCUCCUACCGGGAAGGAAGGAAGGAAGGAAGGAAGGAAGGAUCUUAUAUCCAUGGACCAUGACAACAUUCAUGCAAACCAGUGGUGGCCAACCUCUGGAAAACCAUGACCUUUCCCAGUAUUAAAAAGAAGAAGCAAACAUUGGGAAAUCACCAGCAUGCCUCAAAAUACACCGGAUUUUGCACUGACAUGGUUGAUAGGCACACUCAUACAGUCUUUCUAACCAACAAGAACAAACAGUACUGGCAAUGUUUUUCUACUCUGUAUAUGAACCUGAAAGGUAAAUGAAGUUAGAGCUCUACUCUGUCAUCAGAAGAAGCAAUGGAAAUCACCACAAGCUGGCAAGUAUAGUCAUACACCUUUCCUAAGACAUCUCGUGCCACAUUUUGGAACUGUAUAUGGAAUGGGUCUCUCUGUACAAUUUAUACACAACUGGAUUUGCACAGUCUCACUAUAGUGCUGAAAACUGUCAGGGAUGUUAUGACUGAUUGUGAUAAAAAAAUAUCCCAGGGAACUAUUUUCUUCCAUCUCUAUUUGGAGCCUUUAAAUUGCUUUGCUUUUUUUUUUUUACAGAAAUGUGCCUCAAAUAGACAUUAUCUAAUUACACAAACAGAUGUAACCAAUCAUCUAUGGCCCAGUCAAGAGAAAGUUAGUUCUCAAGUAACUUUGAUAUUAAGUGGACACGUUAGGGUUAAACUACAUGUUAUACAAUUAUAAAUAUGACAUGAGAUAUUGUUCAGAUCUCCUGAUGUUUUGAUUUUAACUUAAAAGUAACUCCCCCACCACUCCCCUGAAUUGAAUUAGGGCAGCAGCUCAGAGAACCUUGAAAUAGAAAAGCCCUGACUCCAGAUGUAUUUCACUGAUCACAAUGAUGGACAUUUUACCAGCAAUGUCAUUGUUUAUCACUGAAAAAUAUGAAAACAGAAAAUUAAAAGGAAAAAGU
Long non-coding RNA from Rhineura floridana, 2168 nucleotides. RefSeq lists it as uncharacterized. The record is from RefSeq and is a predicted model, not a curated record. The transcript is spliced from 4 exons. NCBI's taxonomy places the organism in Eukaryota, Metazoa, Chordata, Lepidosauria, Squamata, Rhineuridae.